UUGGUGGGGUAACGGCCUACCAAGGCGACGACGGGUAGCCGGCCUGAGAGGGCGACCGGCCACACUGGGACUGAGACACGGCCCAGACUCCUACGGGAGGCAGCAGUGGGGAAUGUUGCACAAUGGGCGCAAGCCUGAUGCAGCAACGCCGCGUGAGGGACGACGGCCUUCGGGUUGUAAACCUCUUUUAGUAGGGAAGAAGCGAAAGUGACGGUACCUGCAGAAAAAGCACCGGCUAACUACGUGCCAGCAGCCGCGGUAAUACGUAGGGUGCAAGCGUUAUCCGGAAUUAUUGGGCGUAAAGAGCUCGUAGGCGGUUUGUCGCGUCUGCUGUGAAAACUGGAGGCUCAACCUCCAGCCUGCAGUGGGUACGGGCAAACUAGAGUGCGGUAGGGGAGAUUGGAAUUCCUGGUGUAGCGGUGGAAUGCGCAGAUAUCAGGAGGAACACCGAUGGCGAAGGCAGAUCUCUGGGCCGUAACUGACGCUGAGGAGCGAAAGCAUGGGGAGCGAACAGGAUUAGAUACCCUGGUAGUCCAUGCCGUAAACGUUGGGCGCUAGAUGUGGGGACCAUUCCACGGUUUCCGUGUCGCAGCUAACGCAUUAAGCGCCCCGCCUGGGGAGUACGG
Molecule: ribosomal RNA, 626 nt
Filed under: uncultured bacterium
Lineage: Bacteria
Description: bacterial SSU rRNA
Rfam family: Bacterial small subunit ribosomal RNA
Source: RNAcentral